This 253-nucleotide ribosomal RNA is filed under the name uncultured bacterium. RNAcentral's name for it is "partial 16S ribosomal RNA". It matches the Rfam family "Bacterial small subunit ribosomal RNA", at positions 524 to 776 of the family's 1533-position model. The record is from RNAcentral.
UACGUAGGUGGCAAGCGUUAUCCGGAAUUAUUGGGCGUAAAGCGCGCGCAGGCGGUCCUUUAAGUCUGAUGUGAAAGCCCACGGCUCAACCGUGGAGGGUCAUUGGAAACUGGGGGACUUGAGUGCAGAAGAGGAGAGCGGAAUUCCACGUGUAGCGGUGAAAUGCGUAGAGAUGUGGAGGAACACCAGUGGCGAAGGCGGCUCUCUGGUCCGGUACUGACGCUGAUGCGCGAAAGCGUGGGGAGCAAACGGG